AUAGUUUUCCCUCUUCCACACAAUAACCAUCUCCCCUCAAAAUGAAUUUUCAAUUCCCAGAAUCACGUUCACAAACAUCGGUUUCCCUCCCCCAACCCUUCAUCAAUUUUGGUUAUCAUUCGCAUUGGCGCUCAAGGAGUCAAACUUCGGAGGUACUUUUCUCUCUACAUCUUCUCCUCGGUAUGAAUCUUUUACUUCGUCGCUCAAUUGCACCACCAGAAGUCACCGCUAAUCCGGCUGAUUCUCUGUCGAAUGAAACAACUAGGGUUAGGGUUUCAGAAAUAAUUUCGUUAACUAAUAGAAUUAGAUAGUAUACUAUACUUGUGUGUCUUUUUUAAUAUGUUUUCAAUCAAUUAUUUCACUGCUAAAGGGAGAACGAAACCCUAGAACAAAAAUAAUAUAUGAUUACAUGCUUAAUUAUGUUGCCCUGUUUCAUUAGUUAAGAGGUGUAUAUGUUGACCCAUUUACAUACCAAUGAGUGAAUUUGAUAUAUAUUUUCUUUUAAAGGGUUAAAUGGGUAAGCUACAGGUUACAAGAGUCAAACGAUUACAUGCCAAAACUUGAUCUUACAUAUUAUUUUCCAUAGGGAAAGACUUCAUAUGGAUUUGUUUGGUCCGGCUUGGCUCGGUUUGUAAACGAGCCAAGCCAAGCUUUAAUUAUGUUGCCCUGUUUCGAUUGCCUUCUCCAUUUGGUUAUUGACUUAAUUUGGUUUGGCUGUAUUCAUCUUCUUUAUGUUCUUGUUUCAAUUGUUUUUUCAUGUUUCAAUGCUGGUGGGUGAUUUCUUGAGACGAAGAGAUGAUGGUGAAGGUUUAAAAGAUUUAUUAAAAGAAAUUGCUGCUUUGGAUUAUGGUUAAGAUGUCUAGUUUAGGCCCACCAUGCUUUCGAUGCAAUUCUAAAGAGAAAAAAAAAAAAAACUAAUAAUGUUUCCUUUGGUGGUUCAAGAGCAAUAACCAGAUUUGGGAAUAGAAAGCCUCAUCUUGCUCUGUUUUUUGCAGAUCUAUUGGAUGAUCCACAUCAGAUUUUUCUGGUCACCGUUGUAGCCACUCAGAGGGCAUUGGCUAUGUAUUCGAGCCCAAAUUGUGACAUGUGGCUCUCUGUUAGCGAGAGAAUUUAAACACGCGUUUUUACCCGGUGACUUCCACCUCUUUCACAUACUUUCCUUGUUAUGUGUUCAAACCCUGAUUACCUUCAUCAAAGUAUCUACGCUGAUUUUCCUCUCGGAUUCGUACGUCCCCGCUUCAAUUUCGGAAAUCUGGUGUUGUGAUUCUAUUUAGGACCGUUGAUUAACGAAAAAUAGUAUUGUGGCGGUCAUGGUGCCCUUAAUCGACAAUGAAGAAAGUGAAGACGGUCACGGUGCCCUUAAUCGAGAUAAUGAGGACGUUUACUCUGAAGAUGAAUAUGUUGAAAUUGUCGUGUUACCCUGAGAAAGCAUGUAUACUCUCUUCGCUUCAUCCUAUAUUCCUAUUACAGUUUACAAAAUCAUGAGAUAUCUAAUACAGUUUCCACUCUCUUCGCUACAUCCUACUGUUCAAUUCUGAACAUGAUGAAAUCCCCAAAAUCAUGAGAAAGCAUGUGAUGGUAAUUCUGACAACCAGGGGUAUUGAAAAAACUACCCAAUCUUUUGGCUGAAGAGCUUAAAGUGAUGUGAAAAGAAGUUGAGUAUAGUCAGUUGGCUAAUGUAGCGACAAUAAGUAGUAAGUGCUGGGACAUAUGAAGUGGAAGUAUAACUACUAAGAAAAUGUUAACACGAUGAUUAUUUAACUCGCAUGAAGAUUAUGAAAGAGAUUCAUGAACACAAUGAAGUUUUAAGUUUUUAUUCAUAUACUUGUUAGUUUACGUUGGGUUAUAUGUUUGAUUAUUAGACUUAGAUCGACACUUAUUAGACAUUUGGAAUCUUUGGAAGAUUGAUUGAAUUUUUAAUUGAAGUGAUUAUUUUAUUAUUUCUACA
Long non-coding RNA from Helianthus annuus (common sunflower), 1948 nucleotides. RefSeq lists it as uncharacterized. Lineage: Eukaryota; Viridiplantae; Streptophyta; Magnoliopsida; Asterales; Asteraceae. The transcript is spliced from 7 exons. The record is from RefSeq and is a predicted model, not a curated record.